RNAcentral lists this transfer RNA (73 nucleotides) under Plocamium cartilagineum. RNAcentral's name for it is "tRNA-Ala". It matches the Rfam family "tRNA". Rfam says of the family: Transfer RNA (tRNA) molecules are approximately 80 nucleotides in length. Lineage: Eukaryota; Rhodophyta; Florideophyceae; Plocamiales; Plocamiaceae. RNAcentral also lists the same sequence under 1 other name. The record is from RNAcentral.
GGGGAUAUAGCUCAGUUGGUAGAGCGCUGCCUUUGCAAGGCAGAUGUCAGCGGUCCGAGUCCGCUUAUCUCCA